AAUGAUGAGAUAUGGAAGAUAAUCUUGAUUCCCCUCUAUGUCACUGAUAUCUGAACUACUUUACCUCGCUGUAUGGUCAAGUUCAACCUCCUGGGAAAUCAUUAAGAGGACAAUUUAAGUAUGACCAUUUGGUGCUCGAGGGUAGUAGAAAAGAUCAAGAACUGCCCUAUCAACUCAGGAGGAAUUAAGGAAAAAUGGAGAUGCUAGAGACACUCUGCUUAGUAAUUCCCCUAGCUUUAGUAAUAUGUAGGAGUCCAACCUCACUCUUUAGGCAUUACAGAAUAACUCUUUAGAUGACCCUCUGUUAAUGUACACAAUGUGGGCGUGAGCCUGUAACAUUAUACCUGCUCCUUGGUCUUGCCCUUUCUUUUUGGUUUAUCUGAUAUCAAAUGCAUCUUCAAGUUUUACUCUGACCAAUCUUUGUUUAUGUUUGUUGUGUUAACUUUUAAAUUAUUAAUUUCUUAUUUUAUGUUAUGUGUGGACCAAAAAAAGAAAGCCUUUCAUCACUGCUCUUUCCUUUUGGACUGGAGGAGUUGACAGGAGUUGUGUUACAACAAUGUUCAGUUGCUCUUAGAAGGGAGCUGGGGCAGAUAUAGAGACUGCAUUUUUUAUUUGCAUGGGCCAUUUGCAAAGACUGGAGAGUGACCUUAGUAAUGCAAGGUGCUAAGGUAUUUGCCAGCUUUUAAAAAAUAUAAUUAUUAUUUCUUUUUAUUUUAAAUAAAUAUUGAUUCCUUAUUUCAUUUUGGACUUAUAAUUGUGCAGUCAUUAUCUUAAAGGGGUACUUUAAGUUUUGGUGCACCCCUGAGUUGGGGAAGACAUAGGUACGAAGAGAGGCAAACAAAGUUUAGCCCUUUCAGAGUCCUAGUAGGAGAUACCAGAGGCACGCUUCUAGCUGAUAAAAAGUUACUUUGGGAGACUGACCUGAGAAAACAUUUGUAAGGUUGAUGUCAGAGAAUGUUUUUGCCUAUGUUCUCUUCCAGGAGUUUGAUGGCGUCUUGUCUUAUAUUUAAGUCUUUCAGCCAUUUUGAGUUUAUAUUCAUGCAUGGUGUCAGGGUGUGUUCUAGUUUCAUUGAUUUACAUGAAGCUGUCCAGGUUUCCCAGCAAUGCUUGCUGAAAAGACUGUCUUUUUCCCAUUUUGUUCUUGCCUCCUUUGUCAUACUGAGUAAAGUAAGUCAGAAAGAGAAACACAAAUACCAUAUGAUAUCAUGUAUAUCUGGAAUUUAAUAUAAGGCACAAAUGAACCUUUCCACAGAAAAGAAAAUCAUGGACUUGCAGAAUAGACUUGUGGUUGCCAAGGGGGAGGGGGAGUGGGGGAGCUUGGGGUUAACAGAUACAAACUAUUGCCUUUGGAAUGGAUUAGCAAUGAGAUCCUGCUGUGUAGCACUGGGAACUAUGUCUAGUCACUUAUGAUGGAGCAUGAUA
RNAcentral lists this long non-coding RNA (1422 nucleotides) under Sus scrofa (pig). RNAcentral's name for it is "lncRNA (ENSSSCG00015073793.1)". The record is from RNAcentral. Lineage: Eukaryota; Metazoa; Chordata; Mammalia; Artiodactyla; Suidae.